GAGUAACGCGUAAGAAUCUACCCUCAGGUCGGGGACAACCACUGGAAACGGUGGCUAAUACCGGAUGUGCCGAGAGGUGAAAGGCUUGCUGCCUGGGGAAGAGCUUGCGUCUGAUUAGCUAGUUGGUAGUGUAAGGGACUACCAAGGCGACGAUCAGUAGCUGGUCUGAGAGGAUGAUCAGCCACACUGGGACUGAGACACGGCCCAGACUCCUACGGGAGGCAGCAGUGGGGAAUUUUCCGCAAUGGGCGAAAGCCUGACGGAGCAAUACCGCGUGAGGGAGGAAGGCUCUUGGGUUGUAAACCUCUUUUCUCAGGGAAGAAAAAAAUGACGGUACCUGAGGAAUAAGCAUCGGCUAACUCCGUGCCAGCAGCCGCGGUAAUACGGAGGAUGCAAGCGUUAUCCGGAAUGAUUGGGCGUAAAGGGUCCGCAGGUGGCAUUGUAAGUCUGCUGUUAAAGAGUUUGGCUCAACCAAAUAAAAGCAGUGGAAACUACAAAGCUAGAGUUUGGUCGGGGCAGAGGGAAUUCCUGGUGUAGCGGUG
RNAcentral lists this ribosomal RNA (542 nucleotides) under Dolichospermum solitarium 'BC Ana 0026'. RNAcentral describes it as "bacterial SSU rRNA". It matches the Rfam family "Bacterial small subunit ribosomal RNA", at positions 108 to 683 of the family's 1533-position model. RNAcentral also lists the same sequence under 2 other names. Lineage: Bacteria; Bacillati; Cyanobacteriota; Cyanophyceae; Nostocales; Aphanizomenonaceae. The record is from RNAcentral.